Molecule: ribosomal RNA, 460 nt
Filed under: uncultured bacterium
Lineage: Bacteria
Description: partial 16S ribosomal RNA
Rfam family: Bacterial small subunit ribosomal RNA
Source: RNAcentral
CCUACGGGAGGCAGCAGUGAGGAAUAUUGGUCAAUGGACGAGAGUCUGAACCAGCCAAGUAGCGUGAAGGAUGACUGCCCUAUGGGUUGUAAACUUCUUUUAUAUGGGAAUAAAACGUUCCACGUGUGGGAUUUUGUAUGUACCAUAUGAAUAAGGAUCGGCUAACUCCGUGCCAGCAGCCGCGGUAAUACGGAGGAUCCGAGCGUUAUCCGGAUUUAUUGGGUUUAAAGGGAGCGUAGGUGGAUUGUUAAGUCAGUUGUGAAAGUUUGCGGCUAAACCGUAAAAUUGCAGUUGAAACUGGCAGUCUUGAGUACAGUAGAGGUGGGCGGAAUUCGUGGUGUAGCGGUGAAAUGCUUAGAUAUCACGAAGAAAUCCGAUUGCGAAGGCAGUUCACUGGACUGCAACUGACACUGAGGCUCGAAAGUGUGGGUAUCAAACAGGAUUAGAUACCCGAGUAGUC